This 566-nucleotide ribosomal RNA is filed under the name uncultured bacterium. RNAcentral's name for it is "bacterial SSU rRNA". It matches the Rfam family "Bacterial small subunit ribosomal RNA", at positions 337 to 917 of the family's 1533-position model. The record is from RNAcentral.
UCCUACGGGAGGCAGCAGUGGGGAAUUUUCCGCAAUGGGCGAAAGCCUGACGGAGCAACGCCGCGUGAGGGAUGAAGGCCUCUGGGCUGUAAACCUCUUUUAUCAAGGAAGAAGAUCUGACGGUACUUGAUGAAUAAGCCACGGCUAAUUCCGUGCCAGCAGCCGCGGUAAUACGGGAGUGGCAAGCGUUAUCCGGAAUUAUUGGGCGUAAAGCGUCCGCAGGCGGUCUGUCAAGUCUGCUGUUAAAGCGUGGAGCUUAACUCCAUUUCGGCAGUGGAAACUGACAGACUAGAGUGUGGUAGGGGCAGAGGGAAUUCCCGGUGUAGCGGUGAAAUGCGUAGAUAUCGGGAAGAACACCAGUGGCGAAGGCGCUCUGCUGGGCCAUAACUGACGCUCAUGGACGAAAGCCAGGGGAGCGAAAGGGAUUAGAUACCCCUGUAGUCCUGGCCGUAAACGAUGAACACUAGGUGUCGGGGGAAUCGACCCCCUCGGUGUCGUAGCCAACGCGUUAAGUGUUCCGCCUGGGGAGUACGCACGCAAGUGUGAAACUCAAAUGAAUUGACGGA